GAUGAACGCUAGCUACAGGCUUAACACAUGCAAGUCGAGGGGCAGCAUGGUCUUAGCUUGCUAAGGCCGAUGGCGACCGGCGCACGGGUGAGUAACACGUAUCCAACCUGCCGUCUACUCUUGGACAGCCUUCUGAAAGGAAGAUUAAUACAAGAUGGCAUCAUGAGUCCGCAUGUUCACAUGAUUAAAGGUAUUCCGGUAGACGAUGGGGAUGCGUUCCAUUAGAUAGUAGGCGGGGUAACGGCCCACCUAGUCUUCGAUGGAUAGGGGUUCUGAGAGGAAGGUCCCCCACAUUGGAACUGAGACACGGUCCAAACUCCUACGGGAGGCAGCAGUGAGGAAUAUUGGUCAAUGGGCGCAGGCCUGAACCAGCCAAGUAGCGUGAAGGAUGACUGCCCUAUGGGUUGUAAACUUCUUUUAUAAAGGAAUAAAGUCGGGUAUGUAUACCCGUUUGCAUGUACUUUAUGAAUAAGGACCGGCUAACUCCGUG
RNAcentral lists this ribosomal RNA (490 nucleotides) under uncultured bacterium. RNAcentral describes it as "partial 16S ribosomal RNA". It matches the Rfam family "Bacterial small subunit ribosomal RNA", at positions 28 to 507 of the family's 1533-position model. The record is from RNAcentral.